Molecule: ribosomal RNA, 427 nt
Filed under: uncultured bacterium
Lineage: Bacteria
Description: partial 16S ribosomal RNA
Rfam family: Bacterial small subunit ribosomal RNA
Source: RNAcentral
UGGGGAAUAUUGGACAAUGGGCGAAAGCCUGAUCCAGCCAUGCCGCGCGUGUGAAGAAGGUCUUCGGAUUGUAAAGCACUUUAAGUUGGGAGGAAGGGUUGUAGAUUAAUACUCUGCAAUUUUGACGUUACCGACAGAAUAAGCACCGGCUAACUCUGUGCCAGCAGCCGCGGUAAUACAGAGGGUGCAAGCGUUAAUCGGAAUUACUGGGCGUAAAGCGCGCGUAGGUGGUUAGUUAAGUUGGAUGUGAAAUCCCCGGGCUCAACCUGGGAACUGCAUUCAAAACUGACUGACUAGAGUAUGGUAGAGGGUGGUGGAAUUUCCUGUGUAGCGGUGAAAUGCGUAGAUAUAGGAAGGAACACCAGUGGCGAAGGCGACCACCUGGACUGAUACUGACACUGAGGUGCGAAAGCGUGGGGAGCAAACA